GAGGAAGAGGAGGUAGAGGAGGAUGAUGAGGAGGAAGAGGAGGCAGAGGAGGAGGAUGAUGAUGAGGAGGAGGAAGAGGAGGUAGAGGAGGAUGAUGAGGAUGAUGAUGAUGAUGAUGAUUAUGAGGGUGAUGAUGAUAAGAAUGAUGAGGAUGAUGAUGAUGAUGAGGAGGACGAUGAUGAUGAUGAGAACGAUGAUGAUGAAGAUGAGGAUGAUGAUGAGGAGGAUGAUGAGGAGGAGAAUGAUGAUGAGGACGAUGAUGUCGAUGAUAAUGAUGAUAACGAGGACGGAGAUGAUGAGGAUGAUGAUUAGGAUGAUUAGGAUAAGGAUGAUGAUUAGGAUGAUUAGAAUGAGGAGGAUGAUGAGGAUGAUGAUGAUAAUGAUGAUUAGGAUGAGGAUGAUGAUGAUGAGGACGAUGAUGUCGAUGAUAAUGAUGAUAACGAGGACGGAGAUGAUGAGGAUGAUGAUUAGGAUGAUUAGGAUAAGGAUGAUGAUUAGAAUGAUUAGAAUGAGGAGGAUGAUGAUGAGGACGAUGAUGUCGAUGAUAAUGAUGAUAACGAGGACGGAGAUGAUGAGGAUGAUGAUAAGGAUGAUUAGGAUAAGGAUGAUGAUUAGGAUGAUUAGGAUGAGGAGGAUGAUGAGGAUGAUGAUAAGGAUGAUUAGGAUAAGGAUGAUGAUUAGGAUGAUUAGGAUGAGGAGGAUGAUGAGGAUGAUGAUGAGGACGAUGAUGAUGAGGAUGAUGAUACUGAUGAUGACGAUGAUAAGGACGAUUAGGAUAAGGAUGAUGAUUAGAAUGAUUAGGAUGAGGAUGAUGAUGAUGAUGAUGAUGAUAAUGAUUAGGAUGAGGAUGAUGAUGAUGAUUAGGAUGUGGAUGAGGAUGAUAAGGAUAAUCAUGACGAUGAGGACAAUGAUGAUGAUGAGGAUGAUGAUGAUAAUGAGGAUGAUGAGGAUGAUUAGGAUGUGGAUGAGGAUGAUAAGGAUGAUGAUUAGAAUGAUUAGGAUGAUAAGGAUAUCAUGACGAUGUGGACGACGACAAUGAUGAUGAUGAUGAUGAUGACAAUGACGAUGAUUAGGAUGAGGUAAGGCUGGAGAAGUGUCUUGCCUAAAGACACAAUAAUGAACUGGUCUGAGCUAAUCUGAUUUUGUCAUCAUAAUAAUAAGAAUAAGA
Molecule: long non-coding RNA, 1168 nt
Filed under: Neogobius melanostomus (round goby)
Lineage: Eukaryota; Metazoa; Chordata; Actinopteri; Gobiiformes; Gobiidae
Description: lncRNA (ENSNMLG00000019458.1)
Source: RNAcentral